AUUGAACGCUGGCGGCAUGCCUUACACAUGCAAGUCGAACGGCAGCGGACCUUCGGGUGCCGGCGAGUGGCGAACGGGUGAGUAAUAUAUCGGAACGUACCUUUCAGUGGGGGAUAACGUAGCGAAAGUUACGCUAAUACCGCAUAUUCUGUGAGCAGGAAAGCAGGGGAUCGCAAGACCUUGCGCUGAUUGAGCGGCCGAUAUCAGAUUAGCUAGUUGGUGAGGUAAAGGCUCACCAAGGCGACGAUCUGUAGCGGGUCUGAGAGGAUGAUCCGCCACACUGGAACUGAGACACGGUCCAGACUCCUACGGGAGGCAGCAGUGGGGAAUUUUGGACAAUGGGCGCAAGCCUGAUCCAGCCAUGCCGCGUGAGUGAAGAAGGCCUCGGUUGUAAGACUCUUUCUAGCGGAGAAACGACGAUGGUUAAGUACCUCGUGUGGAGUGACGGUACCGGAAGUAAGAAGACA
This 467-nucleotide ribosomal RNA is filed under the name uncultured bacterium. Its description in RNAcentral is "bacterial SSU rRNA". It matches the Rfam family "Bacterial small subunit ribosomal RNA", at positions 30 to 493 of the family's 1533-position model. The record is from RNAcentral.